GUGUGCGGUUUUGAAGAUCACCGGCGGACGGGCCGCGGGCACGUGGGCAAGCUGCCUGGAGACUGGGAUAACUUCGGGAAACCGGAGCUAAUACCGGAUAAUCCUUUCCCUCUCAUGAGGGAAAGCUGAAAGACGGUUUCGGCUGUCACUUACAGAUGGGCCCGCGGCGCAUUAGCUAGUUGGUGAGGUAACGGCUCACCAAGGCGACGAUGCGUAGCCGACCUGAGAGGGUGAUCGGCCACACUGGGACUGAGACACGGCCCAGACUCCUACGGGAGGCAGCAGUAGGGAAUCUUCCGCAAUGGACGAAAGUCUGACGGAGCAACGCCGCGUGAGCGAUGAAGGCCUUCGGGUCGUAAAGCUCUGUUGUCAGGGAAGAACAAGUAUCGGAGUAACUGCCGGUACCUUGACGGUACCUGACCAGAAAGCCACGGCUAACUACGUGCCAGCAGCCGCGGUAAUACGUAGGUGGCAAGCGUUGUCCGGAAUUAUUGGGCGUAAAGCGCGCGCAGGCGGUUCCUUAAGUCUGAUGUGAAAGCCCCCGGCUCAACCGGGGAGGGUCAUUGGAAACUGGGGAACUUGAGUGCAGAAGAGGAGAGCGGAAUUCCACGUGUAGCGGUGAAAUGCGUAGAGAUGUGGAGGAACACCAGUGGCGAAGGCGGCUCUCUGGUCUGUAACUGACGCUGAGGCGCGAAAGCGUGGGGAGCGAACAGGAUUAGA
This 720-nucleotide ribosomal RNA is filed under the name Mesobacillus jeotgali. RNAcentral's name for it is "bacterial SSU rRNA". It matches the Rfam family "Bacterial small subunit ribosomal RNA", at positions 78 to 782 of the family's 1533-position model. The record is from RNAcentral. Lineage: Bacteria; Bacillati; Bacillota; Bacilli; Caryophanales; Bacillaceae.